CAGUAGCCGCGGGAAUACGGAGGGUGCAAGCGUUACUCGGAAUCACUGGGCGUAAAGGACGCGUAGGCGGAUUAUCAAGUCUCUUGUGAAAUCUAACGGCUCAACCGUUAAACUGCUUGGGAAACUGAUAAUCUAGAGUAAGGGAGAGGCAGAUGGAAUUCUUGGUGUAGGGGUAAAAUCCGUAGAUAUCAAGAAGAAUACCUAUUGCGAAGGCGAUCUGCUGGAACUUAACUGACGCUAAUGCGUGAAAGCGUGGGGAGCAAACAGGAUUAGAUACCCCCGUAGUCCCUGUCUCUUAUAC
RNAcentral lists this ribosomal RNA (301 nucleotides) under uncultured bacterium. Its description in RNAcentral is "partial 16S ribosomal RNA". It matches the Rfam family "Bacterial small subunit ribosomal RNA", at positions 509 to 807 of the family's 1533-position model. The record is from RNAcentral.